RNAcentral lists this long non-coding RNA (2180 nucleotides) under Androctonus crassicauda. The record is from RNAcentral. Lineage: Eukaryota; Metazoa; Arthropoda; Arachnida; Scorpiones; Buthidae.
CAAAUGACAUAAGCAUUUCUCAGCCAACCUCCCCGAGUAACGUAACAGAUGGAGAAAAAUUACAGGUGGUAACAACCAAAUUUCCUAGCGAUAGCCGGGACAAGCAUUCAGUACCUCCACUGUAGCGUUGCAGCAGCGGCGACGUGUAGGUGCCUUUUUCUUCGGUACUUGUACACUGUCUAGACACAACACGAUCAGACUAGACAUGCCUCUACAUUGGCCAGGUCCUUCGGUACCACUACAUUGUCAUAACCACAAUUAGAAUAACCAGAAUCUAUUUUAUGUUCCAAUACAAAUGAAAUGUAUUUAUUAACCAACAUUAGAAGAGGUAUAAUAAAAAUGAAAUGUAUAAUACCACCAAUAUAAUACAAAUGACAUGUAUAAUAUUUAAUAACAACCAAUAUAAUACAACAGCAUACAAAAGUGAAUAUUAUAUGUAUUAACCAUAAUUAGAAUAGGCCUUCAAAUAGCUACAAAUAUAAUACAAAAAUAAUACAAACUAUCUUCAUAUAGAUACACAAAUAUGAUUUAAUACAAAAUAUCUUCAAUAUAAUACAAUACAAAAAUAGACUUGCAAAUAGCUCAAAUUGGAAUAUUCUCUUUCUCCUCUUCGCAUACAAACCGUUUGUAGGAGCAAAGGUUACAGAAUACGCAUCUACGGUUGAAUAGUUGACAUCUGUUGCAUUGUUGUCCUAUUACAACAGCGGGUGGGAUCUCAUAUACGUCCUGCAGAUCGGUAAUUGGGAUAUCGUAUAGGGAUCCCAAAUACAUUGCCAGAAACGACCGUUUACAGUAUAUAUGCCUAUAUUCAUCGACCAGAUCACGUAAGACGAAUGGUACAUGGUCUGCUGCUAUCCAAACAUGGCUGUUGUUCCUGGGGCGACUGGCCAUUUGCAGGCCAUGCCCAUAUUGGACUGCAUAUGUCACGAUAGCUUGGUCGAUAUGCGACAGGUCUCGAUGUCUGACACCUGGCGUGUAUAUAUGCAAUUGGUCGUACGUAUCAUCAAACAGCGUGACAUAACUUAAUCUUCUGAAUAUCCACCCAGAACUUACAUAAUAGCCAUCGAUGUGUAAUAAUAUCCCUUCCAUUUUCAGAACCUAAAAUGGAUAUAAUUCAAUUAUAAUGCCUAAUAGAUAUCCGUAAAAUAUUUUCUAAGGAGAUGUAUUUAUUAUGAUCCUGUAUUACAAUACAUACAGAUUAACUGCGAGAGUGACAUGGAUGCAACCGAGUUGUUUAAGGUUCUGUUAUCUAAGGAUAUGGAUUAUAAUCAUUUCGAAAGAAUGCUGAAGAGAAUAGAAAAGAAAUGUAGAGAGACGCCAGAGAUUAUGGAUACCUGGAAUGAAAUAGCUGCACGUUUGAUGAUCUAUAAAGAAUGGAAUAAGGACAAAGGGAUAAUUCCAAAAUACAAUGAAGCCUGUUUAAAUUCAAUCUGGACAUAUCUGAUGCAAGAAUAAUAUGUCAAUAUUGGUGUGAUGUACGGGUUAUUUGUGUGGUCUUUGUCAUUUCCUGUUGUUAAUAAAGAAUUGUUUCAUUUAUGGCUUAUAUAGUUCUAUAACGCGUCUGAAUAUUCAAUCAUUAUGGCCACUGCAAAUGGUAAGUAAGUAUAUUACAUUGUCCCUCUGAUUACAUCUAAUGUCAUAUACGUUUAGUUACAGGAAACGAUUUCAAACAGUAUAUCGAUGGAGAUAGAGAUUCCUUCAUAUUCAAAGGAGGGAUGGCCCAUACUGUUUAGAUAUCGAUAUACUAGAGUUUCCGGCAACUGGAGGAGCGGUGUAUUACUGCGUGGGGAAAUGUCUGAAGCUGUACUAUUUCGGAGAAAGAAAUACUAUUCCUGUAUUAUACCCAAUUUCAUCAGACCUCAACUAAGUACAGAUCGAUUUCGUACAUGUGUAACCGUUUCUGUUAUCGAUAUUCCUGUGUGUAUUGUAAUAUAGCAUUUGAAUAAAUACCUGUACUUUACUAUAAUCAUUACACACCACAAUAAUAUAUCUUCCUGGUAUACUCGCUUUGCCUGUACCCUCUCUGCUUACUCUACCUUACUAGACCAUCUGUAAUAAACGCUGUUUAUUAAAAGUAAAUUGUUUUGAAAGCAAACCUCUAUCUUGUACUCUUCACAUUUCUCAAUCAUUUAAGUGUAUGCAAGUAGUCUGUUGUACUAUAGUUUUUUCUAAAACCUGCC